GGCGUAAGGGCUCGCAGGCGGUUUCUUAAGUCUGAUGUGAAAGCCCCCGGCUCAACCUGGGAGGUGCAUUGGAAACUGGCGAACUUGAGUAGCGGAAGAGGAUGGUGGAAUUCCCUGUGUAGCGGUGAAAUGCGUAGAUAUGUGAAGGAACACCAGUGGCGAAGGCGACUCUCUGGACUGUUACUGACACUGAGGAGCGAAAGCGUGGGGAGCGAACAGGAUUAGAUACCCUGGUAGUCCACGCCGUAAACGAUGACUGCUAACCGUUGGGAGCCUUCAGCUCCUUAUGGCUCAACUUACCCCUUUAGUUGAUCGCCCGGGGAAUACCGGCCCCAGGAUUGAACUCCAAUGAAUUGGCCGGGGCCCCCCCCAACCGUGGAACCUGGGGUUUAAUUCCAAACCACCCCAAAAACCCUACCCAGGCUUGGCCUCCCUCGGACUUUCCUAAAAUGGAUUGGUGCCCUCCGGAG
This 470-nucleotide ribosomal RNA is filed under the name Pseudomonas fluorescens. RNAcentral's name for it is "bacterial SSU rRNA". It matches the Rfam family "Bacterial small subunit ribosomal RNA", at positions 557 to 1026 of the family's 1533-position model. The record is from RNAcentral. Lineage: Bacteria; Pseudomonadati; Pseudomonadota; Gammaproteobacteria; Pseudomonadales; Pseudomonadaceae.